This 77-nucleotide long non-coding RNA is filed under the name Oryzias sinensis (Chinese medaka). RNAcentral's name for it is "lncRNA (ENSOSIG00000008929.1)". Lineage: Eukaryota; Metazoa; Chordata; Actinopteri; Beloniformes; Adrianichthyidae. The record is from RNAcentral.
UCUGCAGGCAGACCGAAAGACUCUAUCAUCCACAAGUGCUACCUGGGAUUUCCUCCAGAAUUGCCUGUUCUAUCCAC